RNAcentral lists this ribosomal RNA (741 nucleotides) under Triticum aestivum (bread wheat). Its description in RNAcentral is "partial small subunit ribosomal RNA". Lineage: Eukaryota; Viridiplantae; Streptophyta; Magnoliopsida; Poales; Poaceae. The record is from RNAcentral.
AUGAGCCGAAGCUGGAUCAGAGACAAGAUCGACCUUCCCGAACGUGCUUCCCGGAGCUCCAGCUGGCUCACUGACAAGACGCUCCGCCGUGUCGGGACUUUGAACGGCGGCGUCGAGCGCUUCGGCCGCGGGGAGAUGCCGAGGGAGAACUGGAAGAGGCCGGCGAACCGUACGCCAUCAGUCGACCGGUGCGAGAAGAAGCUGAGGCCUCCGACCGAGAUAGUGGCAGCCUCGGAGGCAUCACUCCUCGUCGGCCCGGCGCCGUCAGUCGGCCGGUUCGAGAAGAAGGAGACGCCUAUGACUGAGAUGGUGGCAGACUCGGUGGUGGCAUCCUUCGAUGGCCCUGCUCCGUCGAUCGACCUGUCGGAGAAGAAAGCAGAGCCUACGACUGAGAUGGUGGCAGACUCGGAGGCGACACUCUUUGUUGGUCCUGUGACGUCGGAGAAGAAGCCGACCCCUCCUACCGUGGUGGCACCCUUCGCUGGCCUCGCUCCGUUGAUGGACCGGCCCGAGAAGAAGCCGAAGGCUCUGGCUAAGAUGGAGGUGGACUCGGAGGCAUCCUUGUUCGCUGGCCCGACAUUCAUGGUGUCGCCGGACCCGAGCGAGCUGCCCAUGCCGACCUUCAUCAUGUCGCCGGACCCGAGCGAGCUGCCCAUGCCAACCUUCCUCUAUAAGCACAAGGUGGCUAAAGUGUUAGCUAGACUAGUCGCUCCGAUGCUCAUUGAUCAGCAAGAAGAUUGA